AGUGAACGCUGGCGGUAGGCCUAACACAUGCAAGUCGAACGGCAGCACAGUAAGAGCUUGCUCUUACGGGUGGCGAGUGGCGGACGGGUGAGUAAUACAUCGGAAUCUACUUUUUCGUGGGGGAUAACGUAGGGAAACUUACGCUAAUACCGCAUACGACCUACGGGUGAAAGCAGGGGAUCUUCGGACCUUGCGCGAUUGAAUGAGCCGAUGUCGGAUUAGCUAGUUGGCGGGGUAAAGGCCCACCAAGGCGACGAUCCGUAGCUGGUCUGAGAGGAUGAUCAGCCACACUGGAACUGAGACACGGUCCAGACUCCUACGCGAGGCAGCGGUGGGGAAUAUUGCACGAUGGGGGAGAGCCUGAUCCAGCCAUACCGCGUGGGUGAAGAAGGACUUCGGGUUGUAGAGCCAUUUUGUUGGGAAAGAAAAGAAGCAGGUUAAUACCCCGCUGUUAUGACGGUACCCAAAGAAUAAGCACCGGCUAACUUCGUG
RNAcentral lists this ribosomal RNA (492 nucleotides) under uncultured bacterium. RNAcentral describes it as "partial 16S ribosomal RNA". It matches the Rfam family "Bacterial small subunit ribosomal RNA", at positions 29 to 507 of the family's 1533-position model. The record is from RNAcentral.